This 492-nucleotide ribosomal RNA is filed under the name uncultured bacterium. Its description in RNAcentral is "partial 16S ribosomal RNA". It matches the Rfam family "Bacterial small subunit ribosomal RNA", at positions 29 to 507 of the family's 1533-position model. The record is from RNAcentral.
AGUGAACGCUGGCGGUAGGCCUAACACAUGCAAGUCGAACGGCAGCACAGUAAGAGCUUGCUCUUACGGGUGGCGAGUGGCGGACGGGUGAGGAAUACAUCGGAAUCUACUUUUUCGUGGGGGAUAACGUAGGGAAACUUACGCUAAUACCGCAUACGACCUACGGGUGAAAGCAGGGGAUCUUCGGACCUUGCGCGAGUGAAGGAGCCGAUGUCGGAUUAGCUAGUUGGCGGGGUAAAGGCCCACCAAGGCGACGAUCCGUAGCUGGUCUGAGAGGAUGAUCAGCCACACUGGAACUGAGACACGGUCCAGACUCCUACGGGAGGCAGCAGUGGGGAAUAUUGGACAAAGGGCGCAAGCCUGAUCCAGCCAUACCGCGUGGGUGAAGAAGGCCUUCGGGUUGUAAAGCCCUUUUGUUGGGAAAGAAAAGCAGCAGGUUAAUACCCCGCUGUUCUGACGGUACCCAAAGAAUAAGCACCGGCUAACUUCGUG